Molecule: long non-coding RNA, 618 nt
Organism: Magnolia sinica
Lineage: Eukaryota; Viridiplantae; Streptophyta; Magnoliopsida; Magnoliales; Magnoliaceae
Exons: 2
Source: RefSeq, a predicted model, not a curated record
CUUUCUAGUGUUUAUGCUUUGAUUAUGGCAUUCAUCACUCUCUCUCUCUUCCUUGAUUCUCUGAUACUGCAUUGGAGAGGUGAAUUUUGGUGGUUUUUUUUCUCUCUGAUUAGGGGAUUUUAGCGUGAUCUGGUGGAUCGAAAUUGUUUUGAACAACAUGCCACUGAAUCAUUAUAAGGUUAGGGUUUUUUCUUCUUUUUUUUUUCUAGUUAGGGUUUUGGAUCCUCUGAUUUUAUUCUCAUGCGACGGUAAAGUGGUAAAUAGUGUUGGAAUGGUCUGGUGGCAUUUGUGCUUGUAUUCAAAUGGAGUUUGAGCUGCUUCUGGUGUCUGGAUCUUGUGCAAGGCUUGAAUUCUGGGUUUUGGAGGUUUUAGGGUAUCUACCUUAGCAGCUGCGACAUGGGGAAAUCUCCAGGAAAAUGGAUCAAGAUGGUUUUGUUCGGGAAGAAAUCUUCCAGAUCUGGAGCAUCGAAAGGAAGAGAGGCUUUGAUCUUUUGAGGGAGAUGUUUGUGAACCAAAGGGAAUGAACUUUGUGCUUUGGAUUUUGCCAUGGAAGGUGGCAGUGAUCUGGAAGGGAGUCAGUUUCUGAGGUUUUUCUUUUCUCCAUUUUCGUUUUUUUUU